Molecule: ribosomal RNA, 882 nt
Filed under: uncultured archaeon
Lineage: Archaea
Description: bacterial SSU rRNA
Rfam family: Archaeal small subunit ribosomal RNA
Source: RNAcentral
GUUACUGCUAUCGGAGUUCGAUUAAGCCAUGCGAGUCUAAAGGUUUCUUCGGAAGCCUUGGCGGACUGCUCAGUAACACGUGGAUAACCUGCCCUUAGGUCUGGCAUAACCCCGGGAAACUGGGGAUAAUACCGGAUAGAUCAGGGGUCGCUGGAAUGCGCCCUGAUCCAAAGCUCCGGCGCCUAAGGAUGGGUCUGCGACCUAUCAGGUUGUAGUGGAUGUAAUGUACCUACUAGCCGACGACGGGUACGGGUUGUGAGAGCAAGAGCCCGGAGAUGGAUUCUGAGACACGAAUCCAGGCCCUACGGGGUGCAGCAGGCGCGAAACCUUUACAAUGUGCGAAAGCAUGAUAAGGGAACUCCGAGUGCCAGCAUUAAAUGUUGGCUGUCCUUGUGCCUAAAACGCACAAGAUAGCAAGGGCCGGGUAAGACCGGUGCCAGCCGCCGCGGUAACACCGGCGGCCCGAGUGGUAGCCGCUAUUAUUGGGUCUAAAGGGUCCGUAGCCGGUUUGAUAAGUCCUCUGGGAAAUCUGAUUGCUCAACAAUCAGGCUGCCAAGGGAUACUGUCAAACUUGAGACCGGGAGAGGUAAGAGGUACUUCAGGGGUAGGAGUGAAAUCUUAUAAUCCUUGGGGGACCGUCUGUGGCGAAGGCGUCUUACCAGAACGGGUCUGACGGUGAGGGACGAAAGCUGGGGGCGCGAACCGGAUUAGAUACCCGGGUAGUCCCAGCCGUAAACGAUGCUCGCUAUGUGUCAGAUACGGUGCGACCGUAUCUGGUGCCGUAGGGAAGCCGUGAAGCGAGCCACCUGGGAAGUACGGCCGCAAGGCUGAAACUUAAAGGAAUUGGCGGGGGAGCACUACAACGGGUGGAGCCUGCGGUUU